GGGAAUGUAGCUCAAUGGCAGAGCACUUGCCUAUCAUGCACGAGGCUCUGGGUUCAAUCCCCAGUACCACUA
RNAcentral lists this transfer RNA (72 nucleotides) under Ictidomys tridecemlineatus (thirteen-lined ground squirrel). Its description in RNAcentral is "Spermophilus tridecemlineatus (thirteen-lined ground squirrel) tRNA". It matches the Rfam family "tRNA". Rfam says of the family: Transfer RNA (tRNA) molecules are approximately 80 nucleotides in length. Their secondary structure includes four short double-helical elements and three loops (D, anti-codon, and T loops). Further hydrogen bonds mediate the characteristic L-shaped molecular structure. tRNAs have two regions of fundamental functional importance: the anti-codon, which is responsible for specific mRNA codon recognition, and the 3' end, to which the tRNAs corresponding amino acid is attached (by aminoacyl-tRNA synthetases). tRNAs cope with the degeneracy of the genetic code in two manners: having more than one tRNA (with a specific anti-codon) for a particular amino acid; and 'wobble' base-pairing, i.e. permitting non-standard base-pairing at the 3rd anti-codon position. The record is from Rfam by way of RNAcentral. Lineage: Eukaryota; Metazoa; Chordata; Mammalia; Rodentia; Sciuridae.